Molecule: ribosomal RNA, 649 nt
Filed under: uncultured bacterium
Lineage: Bacteria
Description: partial 16S ribosomal RNA
Source: RNAcentral
UACGGCUACCUUGUUACGACUUAGUCCCAAUCAGCAAUUCCACCGUGGUUCCGCCCCUUGCGGGUAACGGACCUUCGGGUGUUUCUGCCUUUCAUGACUUGACGGGCGGUGAGUACAAGACCCAGGAACAUAUUCACCGUGACAUGGCUGAUUCACGGUUACUAGCGAUUCCAACUUCACGAAGGCGAAUUGCAGCCUUCGAUCCGAACUUGGACCGGUUUUGGGGGAUUCGCUCCGCCUCGCGGCUUGGCUGCCCUUUGUACCGGCCAUUGUAGCACGGGUGUCGCCCCAGGCGUAAGAGCCACGCUGAUCUGACGUCAUCCUCACCUUCCUCCGACUUGGAGCCGGCAGUCUCCUGUGAAAAUGCAACACAGGAUGAGGGUUGCGCUCGUUCAUUGACUUAACAACACACCUCAAGGCACGAGCUGACGACGACCGUGCAGCGUCUGUCUUAGAGUUCCUUGCGGCACGAUUUAAUUUCUUAAACCUUCUCUAGAUGUCAAGCCUGGGUGAGGUGCCCCGCUUAUUAUCGAAUUAAACCCCAUGCUCCACCGCUUGUGUGGGUCCCCGUCUAUUCCUUUGAGUUUUAAUCUUGCGACCGUACUCCCCAGGCGGCGUGUUUACCGCGUUAGCUAAGGCACGGAGGAUC